RNAcentral lists this ribosomal RNA (428 nucleotides) under uncultured prokaryote. RNAcentral's name for it is "bacterial SSU rRNA". It matches the Rfam family "Bacterial small subunit ribosomal RNA", at positions 355 to 774 of the family's 1533-position model. The record is from RNAcentral.
UGGGGAAUAUUGGGCAAUGGGCGAAAGCCUGACCCAGCGACGCCGCGUGGGCGAUGAAGGCCUUCGGGUUGUAAAGCCCUGUCAUGCGGAAAGAACGACCCUGUGCCGCAUACUCACAGGGAGUGACGGUACCGCAGGAGGAAGCACCGGCUAACUCCGUGCCAGCAGCCGCGGUAAUACGGAGGGUGCAAGCGUUGUUCGGAAUGAUUGGGCGUAAAGGGCGCGUAGGCGGUAAUGCAAGUCAGAUGUGAAAUACUCCGGCUCAACUGGGGAACUGCAUCUGAAACUGCAGAACUAGAGUACAGAAGAGGGGAACGGAAUUCCCGGUGUAGAGGUGAAAUUCGUAGAUAUCGGGAGGAACACCAGUGGCGAAGGCGGUUUCCUGGUCUGAUACUGACGCUGAGGCGCGAAAGUGUGGGGAGCAAACA